CAUUCUAAGGAGUGGAAGGUACAUAAAUACUUUUUGUAAUUUCUAGAAAUGUGUUUUCUCACAGACAGUUUCUCAGUGUGGCAUAGACUGUGUUUAUUAAUAGAACCAGUUGUCUUUAAUUCCUCUCUAAAAAGAAGCAAGCAAAAAAAGAUAGGUAAACCCAUGUUCAGUAAUUAAUGUCACUGCUUUACUUUGUUUGGAAUUUUCAUCUAGGAAGUUCCCGUCCUGGCGCAGUGGUUAACAAAUAUAACUAGGAACCAUGAGAUUGUGGGUUCCGUCCCUGCCCUUGCUCAGUGGGUUAAUGAUCUGGCGUUGCCGUGAGCUGUGGUGUAGGUUGCAGACACGGCUUGGAUCCCGAGUUGCUGUGGCUCUGGUGUAGGACUCGCCAACCCCUGCGCCAUGAUGGGAACUCCUGUGUCUGUCUUAUAGUCCUUUGUUUUAAGUACCUCUUAUCUUUAAUUUUUCAUUAGCAUUUUGCAGUGAAACUUUCGGUAAAGGUCUUUUGAUAUAUUUGGAAGCUUCUGCAUACCAAUUAAAAUAUUUUCCCUUUUUGUUUAAUUUGGGAACUCUUUUAUGUGCACUUAAAACAAUUUUUUUUUAAGUUAAAAUAUUUUUAUGGCCAUACCUGUGGCUUAUGGAAAUUCCCAGGCCAGGGGUUGAACCCGACCUGCUGCAGUUGGAUUUUUAACACACUUACACCACAGUGGGAACUCCUAAGUGCACUUCGUAAGUGAAUGAUCUUGUCUAAUUGGAAUGUUCCCCAUAAUGGCCAUUGAAAUUCUAGGUUGUUUUUAGUAAGAUUUUGUUAUUUUUGUAGAUAGCUGUAGUUUCCAGGAUUAUAGUUGUUAGACAUAAAAUAAGUAGGUGUGCCAGGAGGGGUGUUCCUAACUCUUUGGAUUUUACAGAUCCUAUUAUUACUAUUAUUUUUAGCUAAGCUUUUGGAUGUCUUGGUGCAAAACUAAAGCCUAAGAGGGGAGUGUCCUAGGGUUGGGGAUUCUGUGGUGUUUACCGUAUACCUCUAUUUCCAGUUGCCUAUGGAAAUUGAUUUGAGGUCAGCAGCUUACUUAGUGUUGAUAACCUAUUCUGUGACCAGCUUACCCAAAUACAGGAAUCUUUGGGUUAGGUCGUAGGUGCUCUAAUAGAUCUUAAAUGUUUGACUCUUACCCAUCAAUUUUAUGACUUUUUUGAUUUCCGAGAGUCCUAUCAGCAUUUAGCCUUUAUCUACAUAAACCACGGCAAAAAAUAUGCACCUUAACAUGUACUGCAUUCUAGCCAAGAAAAGGCCCUGUGUGUACAACCAGUAAUUCCCCAACAUGGAACCUUGAAGUGGGGAAAGGAGUGAACCAGCAGAUCUCAACAAACGGGAGCUGUGGAUUUGGGGCUCUACAUAAAUAGUGUACUGUGCACUGCCACUAACAGUUCCCAUGUGGAUUUUGGGACAGCAUUAAGGGUUGGAGGUUCCUCUCAAAAACCUGGAAAUUGCAGUCCAUAAUGAAAGCUAGGGGCUUGGGUUCCAGGCAAAACAGCACCAGCUCAAGCUGUCUUGCUCUGUAAAGAAAAGCCAAUUAGAUCCAGAGCUUGAUGCAAAGAGAAAGAAAUUCAGACUUGAGAGAAACUAACCCCUGGCUCUUGAAAAUGGCUGAAAGACAGUGAACCCAAAAAGGUGUUAAUUGGUACCACACCUGUCUUUCUUGUUGUCCUUGAAUGUGCUUGAAGUUUGUUUUCUUUGCAUCUUGACACUAACAACAAAUCUGCUAUUGAAAGACAAAAUUCAGCUGAAUAAAUUUGAAGAUCUAAUUGGCUUUAUUAAUUGAUUCAUGAACCAUGCAGCCUCCCAUCUAUCGGGAGGAAAGGAGCUCCAAGGAGUUCCAGAAAAAGAAAAGUUUUAAAAGGUAGAGAGGAGGUAGGACAAGAAAGCCCUAAACAAACAGAAAAGGAUUAUUUUGAGCAAAAUCACCUUCCUUUGGGAAACAGAAAGGUUUAUUGGCUGAUACCUCCCUGGCGCUGACCAGCAGAUUCUAGACUGACUAGUUAAGGUUCCAUUCCUGGGGAAAGUUGAAACUGCAGUUACGUUAGGUAUUAAGUCUUGGUUUGAUGACAUGGGCUUAAUACAAGUGGCUCCAAUUUGGGCCUGUUUGUUUCUUUUUUUUAAUAGCAGAAAAACUGCUGAACAGCAUUGAAGACAGUUACAGUGGAGGCAGUACCUGGGCAUGAAUAUCAUUGUGACUUUAUUCUUUGGUGACUCUUUGACCUUCUAGGGGUCACAUAAUACUUAGUUUUGAAAAAGACACUGAUGGAGGAGUUGGUUAAAUGCAAAUAAGAAGCAGAUUCCUUGACUGACAGGUUCAUGUUAUUCACAGAAAGGCUGAUGGCUCUAGAUUUGUGGGUGAUUUGUAGAACCAUAAAUUAUACUUCUUCUCAAGGUUGCCUUUUGUUGUCAGAACACUUAGCAUAAGUCAGAAAUGGUAGGUUUUACCUGAAAAGAACAAAAAACCCAUUAAAUAUAAUGUUAGCAC
Molecule: long non-coding RNA, 2516 nt
Filed under: Sus scrofa (pig)
Lineage: Eukaryota; Metazoa; Chordata; Mammalia; Artiodactyla; Suidae
Description: lncRNA (ENSSSCG00035042502.1)
Source: RNAcentral